Molecule: long non-coding RNA, 1602 nt
Filed under: Anneissia japonica
Lineage: Eukaryota; Metazoa; Echinodermata; Crinoidea; Comatulida; Comatulidae
Description: uncharacterized LOC117110539, transcript variant X1
Source: RNAcentral
UGUCACAACUGGGCCAAUUAGUCUAUCUCAAUUUAAUCGAUUUUAUUUUUAGAAUCUGUCAAAUUUUGUAGAAAAUACAUAUUUGUUUAUCUCAAACGAAAUGUGGCUUUCCUCCCCGAGGGAGGGGGGGGGUGGGGGUGCUACCCGACGGGGACUGCUGUUUCUCUAAACUUAAUCUCCUUACCUUUCACAUCCAUCUAAUAAUGAUUUGGAGUUGAGAGCAAAAUAAUGUUAUCUAUCAGACAAAUAAUGUUAUCUAUCAUAACUUCCUGUUACUAUGAUAACCAGGAAGUAUCUCGAAUUGCAGUCAAUUCUGAUUGGUCACUUCAGUUGAGUACGUGUUUUUGAAUUCAUGAAGAUGGAGUUAAGUCAGUUUAUACAUUCUUGGAAGGUAGUUUAGCAGUAUUAUCCACUAUGGAGAAUGUCUCUACUAAAGUUAAAAACUCAAGUGUUGAGUGGUGUAAGGAAGUAUUUUGUUUGUUUGAAAGCCUUACUGUGUCUGUGUGGCAGUUGAUUGAACAGAAAAUUACCGGCUUUCGUCAAAGAUUUUGUUAUUGUUAUAUCUCUCAGCAAGUGUAAAACUCCGAAAAAAGUUAGUACAAGCCAACGUGAUUCAAUAUUUCAAGCUUGAUUUGUUCAACUGCAGAAUUCACACUAUCUGAUCUUUUAGCAAGAAUUUUAAUUUAGCUUGCUACCAUCGGACAUGAAAAAGCAUCUUUGUGGACAGCUACUUCAAUAUACAAAGAAUGCUGGUUAAUGCAUGCUAACACACAAGAAAAUAUCUGGCACAAAUUAAAGACCAGUUGGAACUUGGACCAAUUGAAAACCAUUUAGAACUUGGAUCAAUUAAAGGCCAGUUGGAAUUGGGACCAGUUGGAACUGGGAUCAGUUGGAUUGUCCAAAAACACAACACCAACUGGUCCCAGUUCCGACUGGUCCAACUGGAAUUUGGGACCAGUUGGAACUGGGACCAGUUGAAUUGUCCAAAACCACAACCCGCAACUGGUUCCAGUUCCAACUGGUCUAACUGGAAUUUAAAACCAGUUGGAGUUGGGACCAGUUGGAACUGGGACCAGUUGAAUUGUCCAAAAACACAACACGUAACUGGUUCCAGUUCCAACUGGUCUAACUGGAAUUUUCACCUGGGUUGUAUCAUUAUUAAACGAUGUGAUGCACAUUGUAAGUUAUCAGGCCGAACGUGUUUGUUUAUUUUAAUGAAGGUCUUUGGGGAGAGGUGAAAGCAUACUUAAAACAAAUAUAAAGCCACAUACUGUAACGGUAUCGGAAACAAUAUACGGUACAUUUUUGUAUAGUCUCUAUUCAUUUCUAGUUUUGGAACACUGUUAGACAGAUAAUUAGCCAAGAUGUGUUUGAACUUUACUUGGAAAAAAACGUACAUGCAAUUUUAGUCGAAGCACGAAACUUCUAAAUCUAUAUUUACCAGUGGCGUAUGUAGAGAGUGUGGUGAGGCUUAUUUUUCGACCGAGCGCACCUCACUUAAUCUUUUUUUACAUUCGCAUCCUUUCCCUAUCCCACAUCAUGGGCGGCGGAAGCGGGGGGCCGGGGGGCCCGGGCCCCCCACUUUUUGGCGAAAAAUAUAUG